UUGAAGGCUUUAAGUU
This 16-nucleotide transfer RNA is filed under the name Corydalus cornutus (eastern dobsonfly). RNAcentral describes it as "partial tRNA-Trp". Lineage: Eukaryota; Metazoa; Arthropoda; Insecta; Megaloptera; Corydalidae. The record is from RNAcentral.